CGAGUCUACUUUCCUAUUAAAUACGGACAUCAUAUCAAAAUUUGCCAAAUAUAAUUUACUACUUGAGCAAGUGGCACUAAACUAGCUUCAAAUCGAAAAGUGGUCUAUUUUACAAAGAUGAAGGCAUUGAGUGUAUUCGGAUUUAUCUGCAUUUUGGGUUACACCCUAGCCAAUUCCUUUACACGCUGUCCUCACGAAGAAGAUGGACCGUCUAGAGCUUUCCAUGCAUGUAAUGCUCCUGUUCUUGCAGCUGUAACUAAUCGGGAGUUAUGCCCAGCGAUGACUUCCGCCAUUAGUUGUGUUGAACAGCUAGCAAUUCACUGUCCCAGUUUCAUGGAGGCCAUCGGAAUUCAAGAACUUCGCGGAUUAGAAGGAUUGGCUCGAACUUACUGCAAGUUUUAAGAUUCCAGGUGAUGGUCAAAUGUCAAGAGUUAUUAGAGAUAUUAUGAGAACUAUACACCUCUCGGUCAACAAUGACAUUUGAUAUUAGAUAGACGCACAGUAUUGGUGUAAAAUGUUGUUUUUUUUACAAAAUAAUUCACAGCUUCUGCUAAUUUAUCUUGUCUUUGCUUCACAAUGACACAUUUUAUAUGCCAACAAUAAUUACAUCAACUUUAGUGCAAAACAUUUAAUAAAUUCACUAACAUGCUU
Molecule: long non-coding RNA, 651 nt
Organism: Patella vulgata (common limpet)
Lineage: Eukaryota; Metazoa; Mollusca; Gastropoda; Patellidae
Exons: 4
Source: RefSeq, a predicted model, not a curated record